AAGCGUGGGGAGAAAACGGAACAGAUACCCUGGUAGUCCACGCCCUAAACGAUGUCAACUGGUUGUUGGGUCUUCACUGACUCAGUAACGAAGCUAACGCGUGAAGUUGACCGCCUGUGGAGUGAGGGCGCAAGGUUGAAACUCAAAGAAAUUGACGGG
This 159-nucleotide ribosomal RNA is filed under the name Paracidovorax avenae. RNAcentral describes it as "partial 16S ribosomal RNA". It matches the Rfam family "Bacterial small subunit ribosomal RNA", at positions 757 to 917 of the family's 1533-position model. The record is from RNAcentral. Lineage: Bacteria; Pseudomonadati; Pseudomonadota; Betaproteobacteria; Burkholderiales; Comamonadaceae.